CUAAGUUUUGUGUUUCUGCUGUAAAUAUGGACGGAAAGCAACGUGUGGGCUUUUAGGUGGGCGUGAUUCAGUUUCAGAUUGCUCAUAAAGGACCCGCAUACAUUA
This is a small nucleolar RNA of Abrus precatorius (Indian licorice), 105 nucleotides long. The record is from RefSeq and is a predicted model, not a curated record. Lineage: Eukaryota; Viridiplantae; Streptophyta; Magnoliopsida; Fabales; Fabaceae.